UACUCAUUUCACCUGGGAUUGUUGAUUAGGCUGCUUCAAGGGAAAUCCUAUUCUUGAAGGUGGCUUUGACCAUCUGGAGGAGGAAAUGAUAGAUAUCCUUACCACAUCUUCGUGCAUGGCCUGCCCGGAUACAACUGCGUGGGUACUGCGAUGGAGCACAAACAAACGCGACCGCUAAAGUCGUGUAGGGUGUUUCCCUUUCAUGUCUGAAUUUGUUUAGACAGUUACACAAUCAGAGAGCGCGGAAUGAGAGAAAACAAAACCCAGGAGAAAGGAAUGCUUUGAAUCUAGGUCCCUGGGCCUUGAUACUUUUUCUUUGUUAAAUCAACCCAAGGCCCCUCCAUAUGCUGAUCAUCUUUUGCCAAUGUCUGUGUCUGAACAGGUUUUCCCAGGCAUAUAGCUCAGAAAGAACCUUUCAUCCUCCUUUUCCUGUUAUGUGUAUAAUGUGGUGUAGCCCAAAGCCACUGUGGGUUCUAAUUUGCAUGUCUAUUUCAAGAAGCCCGGAAACUAUUUGCAUAAGACUCUUGCUUCCUGAGAGAUCCCAGCAGAAGGAUGUAGAGAUAGAGUCUUUCAUUUUUUCAUUUAGUUCUAGAUAUCCAUAGUGAGAGAUCUGUGUGUCUAAACCCUAAAAUCUGUAGAAUGUGCAUGAAAAAAUCUACCACCCUAAGCGUAAGGAGAGCUAGUACAGAUGAGGAUGUCGUGGCAGAAAUUAGUACAAAAAACAUUACAACAUUUUGUAAUUUUUCUAACUUCAAGUAUUUUUUGGAGGUUUGUUGUAGAACUAUGGAAACUUGAAACAUAAAGCAAGACUAUUUAAAGGUUCAAUCUCGUCUUGUAAGAAAGAGAAACAGGUAGAGAGACAGAAAGGGGAUAUAUACUUCAUGGUCAGAGAGCUGCAGGGGCGGUUGUUAGCUGUGCAGAUGAGCAGAAGAGAGGAUAGCAGCAGCUCAACAGUGGCACCUUCAGUAGUUCUAGAGAGAAGGGAUGGCAACAGCAGUAGACCAGGCUAGUACCAGCCAAAGCAACAGAUACGUACAAUCCAGACUAGUCCUGGGCGGAAUAGGGUAGACAGGGCAGGGCCCAGUGGAGACAGCCAUGGCCAGGUUUCCCAUAGAGUUAGAGUGAGAUAAAGUGGUAACAGCAACAGGGCAGAGAGAGACUGGGCAGGAACUGCAAAGAUGGCAGCUGGAGCAGAAUGAUGUGCAUCAGGUGAGAGGAAAAGCACAAGGCCAGAGGAUCAACUGUGCAGGGUCCAUGGUGAUGGAGCACAGCAGUGGGCAGAAGUGCGGGCUGGGACCUACCCCCGUAAAGGAGACACUGGAAACCAUCGUCCAAAGAGACAAAGACACCAAUGACUAACAGAAUUUAUUGAGCUUACAAAAUCGCAGAUAAAAAGAAAAAGAAAAAAAAAAAAAGACUGGCCAAAAUGCUAAAACUCCCUCCUCUUAUGGGAUAACAAAACAGGCUACAAUUGGUUGGAAUCAAUAUGACCAACCAGAGCCUGUACAGAACCAGCCUGUGAUGUCACAGUCUGAACUACCACCACACGUUUCGUACUAACGCCCCCUGAAUUUGCACAUGCGACCCAUGAGGAGGCAUGAAGAGAUAACUGCUCAUGCCAAGACCUUUCUAGGUUUCCCCUUUCCUUCCACCGAUCACCCACUAAUCCCAGAAUCCACCCCGUAAACCUCUUCUAAUAAAACUACUCCCUUGAA
Long non-coding RNA from Homo sapiens (human), 1715 nucleotides. RefSeq lists it as uncharacterized. The transcript has 2 exons. The record is from RefSeq and is a predicted model, not a curated record. Lineage: Eukaryota; Metazoa; Chordata; Mammalia; Primates; Hominidae.